This 232-nucleotide long non-coding RNA is filed under the name Elaeis guineensis (African oil palm). Its description in RNAcentral is "long non-coding RNA (EGUI_LNC064399)". The record is from RNAcentral. Lineage: Eukaryota; Viridiplantae; Streptophyta; Magnoliopsida; Arecales; Arecaceae.
UAUGCAAAAAGAAAGGAAUAGGUUAGAAUACGUACCCGGCUUCCAACACUCACCAACUUAAUGUAAAGCAAGAUAAAGAAGAUAAAUAAGAAAUACUAAAACUAAAAAGCAUGAAGAGCAAAAAUUUAGACACAAAUUAAAAAUACGUCAAUCUUCCGACAAUGGCAUCAAAAACUUGAUAUGUCUUAAAUAUAACCGCAAGCACAUGGUGUGCAAAGCAGCAUGCUCGGCG